Molecule: ribosomal RNA, 465 nt
Filed under: uncultured bacterium
Lineage: Bacteria
Description: partial 16S ribosomal RNA
Rfam family: Bacterial small subunit ribosomal RNA
Source: RNAcentral
GACGAACGCUGGCGGCGUGCUUAACACAUGCAAGUCGUACGGUAAGGCCCUUUCGGGGGUACACGAGUGGCGAACGGGUGAGUAACACGUGAGUAACCUGCCCACAACUUUGGGAUAGCGCUAGGAAACUGGUGCUAAUACUGGAUAUGUGCUCCUGCUGCAUCGUGGGGGUUGGAAAGCUCCGGCGGUUUUGGAUGGCUUCGCGGCCUAUCAGCUCGCUGGUGGGGUAGUGGCGUACCAAGGCGGCGACGGGUAGCCGGCCUGAGAGGGUGACCGGCGACAUUGGGACUGAGAUACGGCCCAGACUCCUACGGGAGGCAGCAGUGGGGAAUAUUGCACAAUGGGCGCAAGCCUGAUGCAGCAAGGCCGCGUGCGGGAUGACGGCCUUCGGGUUGUAAACCGCAUUCAGCAGGGACGAAGCUUUUUGUGACGGUACCUGCAGAAGAAGCACCGGCUAACUACGUG